CCACAAUGGAAAGGAGUCUAUCACCUCUCAAAAGUGAUGGGCACGUUAUUGAGGAAAGCUUAAUCUGGGUUGUAGAAGAGUCUAAAUAACCAUUGCUGCUUAAUACUGAUGGUGAUGAAGAUGAAAACACACCUACCCUGUAAGGGUUUUCUCAGCGCCAAGCACUAUCUAAGUGGUACCAACUCAGUCUUUACAGUGACCCUGAGAUAGGUACUAUUAUCCUCACUUGACGUUUGAAGGACAGGCACUGUGAGGGUGAGAAACUCGCUUAGGGACACAUAGCCCGUGUCCCUCCCUCGUGGCCUCCUCCGACUGCCUCUCAUCUCUUCAGAGACUCUUCAUAGCCCCCUUCUCUAUGCUUCCAGGCUCGGCUCCCAUCACACCUUCAGCAUAUGCGGAAGGGCUGGUCAUUUCCCCUUUAUCCCUCAACUCUCCUCCGUGAGGCCCCGAGUGCCUCCAUUCCAGAAAUGUGAGGCUCAAAUGUGCCUUUGCCCAGCCCUGCCUUUGUGUUCUCGUGGGAAGUUAUGAGCGUGGGACAGGUGUUAGCCAACAAGAGGGAGAUGGUCCCCUAAAGCUCUGUACAUUACAAGAACACAAGCAGUACUACCUGAGGAUUCCUGCAAAGUCAAGCAUCUUUUGUCAAGAUCAAGUACCAUGGAGCUUGAACAUCUUAAUGUUACUGACCCACGUUCUUGGACUCUUUGACCAGUAAAAAUUGAUCAGAGGCCAGGCGUGGAAUUCAGGCAAAACUUCACUGGGACACCCACUGCUGCACAAGGAAGUGAAAACCAGUAACAGGUGCCCCCGCUAGCUCCCCAAGGUGGUGCAAGAUGGUCCCUAAAAUGGGGUGAGGAUGGGAGCAGAUUGGGUCGGCCGGGGCGGGGGGCGGGAUGGCGCACGUGGUGUGCUGGCCCUCUUGGUGGUGCCAUGUGCAGAGGUCACGCGCAGAUUCCCUGCUUUUGCUCCCGGCACUUCAGAAGUGGAAGUUGCUGUUUGGGCCUUUUUGUAUCUUCUUGUUCAUAAUUUGCCCCCAGCCAUACAUGCACACAGUCACUUUUUGUCCUUUAUAGUUUCUUUUAUUUUGUUACCGGAGGAGACAUUUGUCCAGAGGUGAGCACUGCAGCAAAGGGUCCCAAGUCCCAGCCUGUCUCAUGAAGGGCCCCAUUCCUGACCCUUUUCUGCCUCCAAUCUUGCCAAUUCAUCAGUAUCUUAUAUCUUUAAAUAGCAUUAGCCACCACCUGUCACCCAUUCCUACUGUGAAAACAUUCACCCACUCAUGACCUUCGACUUAGGCCCAGGCAACACUUCUCAGCCGUGACUGCUUGUUGGAAUCAUCUGGGGAGCUUGCAAUACCGAAGCCUGGGUCCCGCCUUCAGGGAUUCUGAUUUCAUUGGUGUGGGGAUACAUCCUGGGCAUCAGGCUCUUAAAACUUGCCAGGUGUGAGGGAUAUGGGAAGGUAAUAAAAGCCAUUAUAGUCAGAGCCCUUCCUAGCUCUUUCGGAUUCUGAAGUUUGGAGUUUGGCUCCACCUUGCUCUGUGUGAGACAGCGUCUAAUCUCAGAGAGAUGGCUCCCUGGGAGGCUGGCUGCAUUUAGAACUUCAUCCAAGCUGCUUUCUGGGAUAAAAUGAAGUCUGUGAAGCAUCACCUGGGAUUUUAUUCCAAGUUUUACAUUCGUUUGCAGAAUGAAGAUUUGUUUCGCACACUGCUGGGGACCCACUGAGUUCUACCAUCCUCUCCAUGUUGGCUUCAUAUGUAUCUUCCACAAAUGACUGCGUCUGUGAAGCUGUGUGAGAUGACUGCAAGCAGCCCCAGCAUGAAGCUCACCACCCUGGAAUUGUGCUCCUCAACGAGAGGAGUGGGAGGGGGUGUACCCCCUAGAAAGCAUCUUGGAAAUUUGUGGGGAUAGUUGGGGUUGUCACGGUGAUGGUGGGGAGCUACUGUUUGAAUUUCAUGCUAGACAUCCUACGGACCAUGGGGCACUCCUAUACAAAGAAGAGUUCUUAUGUUCUAUGCCAGUUUCUAAUGUCCCACUGGACAUUCAUGUAGGUAGAGAGCCUAUUUGUAAUGAACUGAGCCUAGACUUAACCCCGUUUUAUAUAUAAAGCCGUUUGCACAGUCAUCUUUAAUUGAGUAUACAUAACAUAAUGACAUAACUUUAGUGUCAGGCAUACAGUAUAAUGUUUCAAUACCUAUAUACAUUGUGAAACGGUCACCACAAUGUCUAAUUAAGUUCUAUCACCACACUGAGUUACAUAUUUUUUUCCUUGUAAUGAGAACUUUUAAGAUCUAUGCUCUUAGCCACUUUCAAGUAUACAAUAUAGUAUUAUUAACUAUAGUCACCAUUGUAUUAUAUUCCUAUGAUUUAUUUUAUAACUGGAAGAUUUUAUCUUUUGAUCUCUUUCACCCAUUUUGUCCACUGUCCAACCCCUACCUCUGACAACCACCACCUGCUCUGUAUCUAUGCACUUGCUGUGCUGCGCUUAGUUGCUCAGUCGGGUCCUACUCCUUGCAACCCCAUGGACUAUAGCCCGCCAACCUCCUCUGUCCAUGGGGACUCUCCAGGCAAAAACACUGCAAUGGGUUGCCAUUCCAUUCUCCAGAGGAGCUUCCCAAUCCAGGGAUCAAACAGGUUUCCUGCGUUGCAGGUGGAUUCUUUACCAUCUGAGCCACCAGGGAAGCCCAUCUAUGUGCUUAGUGUUUUUUUUCCUUUAAAUUUCAUAAAUAAGUGAAAGCAUAUGGCCUUUGUUCCUCUGACUUAUCUCGUUGAGGGCACACUGCCCUCAAGGUCCAUCCAUGUUGCCACAAUGACAAGAUACCCUUCCUUUUUUAAGGCUGAAUAUUAUUGGUCUUGUUGGGCAGAUCCCCUGGAGAAGGGAAAGACUACCCACUCCAGUAUUCUGGCCUGGAGAAUUCCAUGGACUGUACAGUCCAUGGGGUCACGAAGAGUCAGGCACGACUGAGUGACUUUCACUUUCACAUUAUUGCUCUGUGUGUACCACAUCUUUUUAUCUGCACAUCCACCGAAGCGCACGUCCAUAUUUUGACUAUGGUAAAUAAUGCUGCAGUGAGUAUGGGGGUGCAUAUCUUUUCAAGUUAGUUUUUUGUUUCCUUUGGAUAAAUGCCCAGAAGUAGAAUUGCCACAUUUAUAAGGUAGCUCUGUUUUUAAUUUUUGAGGAACUUCAUACUAUUUUCCAUAGUGGGUUAACAAGUUUACAACCCCACCAACAGUUCAAAAGGCUUCUCUUCUCCACGUCAUCAUGGACACUAUUGUCUCUCUGAUGAUAAGCAUCCUAACAGAAGUGAGGCGAUCUCUCAUUAUGGCUUUGCAUUUCCCUGGUUAGUGAUAUUGAAGAUGUCUUCAUGUACCUGUUGACCAUCUGUGUGUCUUCUUUGGAAAAGAAGGUCCUCUGCCCAUUUUUUAAAUCAGAUUAUUUUUUGCUCUUAAGUUGUAUGAGUUCUUUAUAUAAUUGCAGUAUGAACCCCUUACCAGACAUAUGAUUUGCAAUUAUUUUCUCCCAUUUGGUAAGUUGCCUUUUCAUUUUAUUGAUAUUUUCCUCUGCUGAGCAGAAGCUUUUUAGUUUGAUGCAGUCCCACUUACUUACCUGCUUUGGGUGUCACAUCCAGAAAUUAAUUGCCAAGAUCAAUGUCAGGGAGCUUACAGCCUAUGUUUUCUUCUAGGAGUUUUAUGGUUUCAGGUCUUUUAAGUUUUUAAUCCAUUUUUGGUUAAUUUGGAGUGUGGUGUAAAUUAGUGGUCCAGUUUCAUUCUUUUGCACAUGGCUGUCCAGUUCUCCUAGCCUGAUGUAUUGAAGAGACUAUCCUUUCCCCAUUGGAUGUUCUUGGAUUCUUUGCCAUAAUUAAUUGACCAUAUAAAUGUGGGUUUAUUUAGGGCCUUGCUCUUCUGUUCCAUUGAUCUAUGUGUCUGUUUUUAUGCCAAUGCCAUACUAUUUUGAUUACUAGAACUUUAUAAUAUAGUUU
This is a long non-coding RNA of Bos taurus (domestic cattle), 3974 nucleotides long. NCBI's taxonomy places the organism in Eukaryota, Metazoa, Chordata, Mammalia, Artiodactyla, Bovidae. The record is from Ensembl.